RNAcentral lists this transfer RNA (73 nucleotides) under bacterium. RNAcentral describes it as "tRNA-Lys". It matches the Rfam family "tRNA". Rfam says of the family: Transfer RNA (tRNA) molecules are approximately 80 nucleotides in length. Their secondary structure includes four short double-helical elements and three loops (D, anti-codon, and T loops). The record is from RNAcentral.
CCGCCCGUAGCUCAGUUGGUAGAGCAGGGACCUCUUAAGUCCAAUGUCGCAGGUUCGAGUCCUGCCGGGCGGA